GGAGAUCUCCAAGGAAAGCCGAUGUCGCAAGAGAGGAGAAUAGUGACAGUGGUUCCAAAGAAUAAAGUUGUAUAUACUCUGAAGAUCCUCAAUAAUUGCACUGCAGUAUGAGCAAGAGAGAGAACAAGUGGCACAUCCAAUGUGAGCUAACAGGAAUAACGGUAGAUUUCAUGGUCGUGACAUCACCACCAGUGACUUUUCUACAAACAAAGCUCUGAACAAAGGACUGAAUGACCCAUCCAAGCUGUGGAUGUAUUCCAGAGAGAUUUUAAAGCCAGCAAACUCACCAAUACUGCUAAGAACCUGAUAUACGGACUUUGAAGUCUCUUUAUGUAUCUG
Long non-coding RNA from Mauremys reevesii (Reeves's turtle), 339 nucleotides. RefSeq lists it as uncharacterized. Lineage: Eukaryota; Metazoa; Chordata; Testudines; Geoemydidae. The transcript has 3 exons. The record is from RefSeq and is a predicted model, not a curated record.